This 433-nucleotide unclassified non-coding RNA is filed under the name soil metagenome. RNAcentral describes it as "partial contains 5.8S ribosomal RNA, internal transcribed spacer 2, and large subunit ribosomal RNA". The stretch from base 1 to 120 matches the Rfam family "5.8S ribosomal RNA", at positions 35 to 154 of the family's 154-position model. The record is from RNAcentral.
GAUGAAGAACGUAGCGAAAUGCGAUACGUAAUGUGAAUUGCAGAAUUCAGUGAAUCAUCGAAUCUUUGAACGCAUAUUGCGCUCUCUGGUAUUCCGGAGAGCAUGCUUGUUUGAGUAUCAGUAAACACCUCAACUUCCAUAUCUUUUUUGAAAUGGGAGUUGGACUUGAGUAAUCCCAACGCUUUUCCUCACCGAAAAGUGGCGGGUUACUUGAAAUGCAGGUGCAGCUGGACUUUUCUCUGAGCUAUAAGCAUAUCUAUUUAGUCUGCCUAAAAAACAGAUUAUUACCUUUGCUGCAGCUAACAUAAAGGAGAUUAGUUCUUGUGCUGACUGAUGCAGGAUUCACAAAGACAGGCUUCGGCCGACUUUGUAAACUCGAUCUCAAAUCAAGUAAGACUACCCGCUGAACUUAAGCAUAUCAAUAAGCGGAGGA